Pseudopipra pipra is the source of this 1039-nucleotide long non-coding RNA. RefSeq lists it as uncharacterized. NCBI's taxonomy places the organism in Eukaryota, Metazoa, Chordata, Aves, Passeriformes, Pipridae. The transcript has 2 exons. The record is from RefSeq and is a predicted model, not a curated record.
UCAGAGAGGCAAACUGGGUGCUGCUUCUCCCAGAGCCUUUAUACCUCCCAGUAUUUGGAUCCUCCCUUUUCCCGUUCCUCAGGGGAAGGGAGGUGGGCGUGGCUAGGGCUGUAUUAGCCCCAGCCUUUGGUCAAGGAGCUCAUUUGCCAGCCGGGCUUCAAAGGAUUAAGAGCUGUUUCUUUCUUUCAAUUAAUAGAGCCUCUCAAAUUAUUUCAGCAUUAUUAAACCACCAGCUUUGGCAUCUAAAGAAGCAGACCUGAGCGUUGCAUCUUUUGGGAUUUCCUGAUCGUGUCAGCUGCAACUUGUCAGCUUUUCACAAGAGUUGUCCGGUCUUGAGGUGAAGCUACUCUGUGUUGAAGAUGACUUCAGAAAUCCAAGUUUCUGAGCGGUCAGUCAAGGGUUACAGCUAAGGGAUGGAACGAGGGCUAGGGUACCUGCCUCAGAGACCCUGUCUGUGCUGCCAGGAGAGAGAAAACCUUUGGGAAGCUGGGCUGGAAACAGCAACUCUGUGAAUUGCUCAGCUUUUCCUAGGCAAGGGCAGGUUUUCGGGAACAAAGGCCCGUACGCGCGAAAGGCGCCGCGGGUCUCGCCAAGGUGGGGGGGGGGGGCGCGGCUGCAGCGCCGCGCGCGGCUGCAGUGCCGCUCCCGGCCGUGUCCGCCAGGCGGCGACUGUGAGGCAGGGCCCGGCGCUCGGGGGCGCUCUCGCAAGCGACGCCCCCGGGAAAGCGGCGGGGUUUGGGCACUGCCGGCCUUCCCCCGGAGCGCCCGGGCUGGCCCGGCGCCUGGCAGAACCUCUGAGGGAAAAGGCAAGCAACAACAGGGGGAUCAUCAGGUUUUCCAGCCAAGAAAAACAAGGAGAGAGAUGAGGGAAUCGGGUUCCAAUUACUAAUGAUUUUGAUGGGUGCAGGAAUGAUUUCUGUGUGUUUUCCAGUCCCUUUUGAUUCCUGGGAUGAUUUUGAAAUGAUGGCUUUAGCAAUCAACUAAAUCGGAGAUGUUGUUUUUGAGAGGAAAUGAUGCCAAAUAGAUGCAGAGUUUUGGG